RNAcentral lists this ribosomal RNA (843 nucleotides) under uncultured bacterium. RNAcentral's name for it is "bacterial SSU rRNA". It matches the Rfam family "Bacterial small subunit ribosomal RNA", at positions 615 to 1456 of the family's 1533-position model. The record is from RNAcentral.
CAANGUAUGCUUUGGAAACUGUUAGACUNGAGUGCAGAAGGGGAGAGUGGAAUUCCAUGUGUAGCGGUGAAAUGCGUAGAUAUAUGGAGGAACACCGGUGGCGAAAGCGGCUCUCUGGUCUGUCACUGACGCUGAGGCUNGAAAGCGUGGGUAGCGAACAGGAUUAGAUACCCUGGUAGUNCACGCCGUAAACGCUGAGUGCUAGGUGUUAGGUCCUUUCCGGGACUUAGUGCCGACGCUAACGCAUUAAGCACUCCGCCUGGGGAGUACGACCGCAAGGUUGAAACUCAAAGGAAUUGACGGGGGCCCGCACAAGCGGUGGAGCAUGUGGUUUAAUUCGAAGCAACGCGAAGAACCUUACCAGGUCUUGACAUCCCGAUGCCCGCUCUAGAGAUAGAGUUUUUCUUCGGAACAUCGGAGACAGGUGGUGCAUGGUUGUCGUCAGCUCGUGUCGUGAGAUGUUGGGUUAAGUCCCGCAACGAGCGCAACCCUUAUUGUUAGUUGCCAUCAUUAAGUUGGGCACUCUAGCGAGACUGCCGGUAAUAAACCGGAGGAAGGUGGGGAUGACGUCAAAUCAUCAUGCCCCUUAUGACCUGGGCUACACACGUGCUACAAUGGUUGGUACAACGAGUCGCAAGCCGGUGACGGCAAGCUAAUCUCUGAAAGCCAAUCUCAGUUCGGAUUGUAGGCUGCAACUCGCCUACAUGAAGUCGGAAUCGCUAGUAAUCGCGGAUCAGCACGCCGCGGUGAAUACGUUCCCGGGCCUUGUACACACCGCCCGUCACACCACGAGAGUUUGUAACACCCAAAGUCGGUGAGGUAACCAUUUAUGGGGCCAGCCGC